CCUUGAGGGUCCUGAAGGAACGUUGAAGACGACGACGUUGAUAGGCCGGGUGUGUAAGCGCAGCGAUGCGUUGAGCUAACCGGUACUAAUGAACCGUGAGGCUUAACCUUACAACGCCGAAGGUGUUU
RNAcentral lists this ribosomal RNA (128 nucleotides) under Escherichia coli. Its description in RNAcentral is "partial 23S ribosomal RNA". The stretch from base 1 to 110 matches the Rfam family "Bacterial large subunit ribosomal RNA", at positions 2815 to 2925 of the family's 2925-position model. Lineage: Bacteria; Pseudomonadati; Pseudomonadota; Gammaproteobacteria; Enterobacterales; Enterobacteriaceae. The record is from RNAcentral.